GUGCUCGCUUCGGCAGCAUGUAUAGUAAAAUGAACGACACAGAGAUUAGCAUGGCCCCUGCACAAGGAUGACACGCAAAUUCAUGAAGCAUUCCGUUUUUUU
Molecule: small nuclear RNA, 102 nt
Organism: Sapajus apella (tufted capuchin)
Lineage: Eukaryota; Metazoa; Chordata; Mammalia; Primates; Cebidae
Source: RefSeq, a predicted model, not a curated record